Molecule: long non-coding RNA, 1197 nt
Organism: Acinonyx jubatus (cheetah)
Lineage: Eukaryota; Metazoa; Chordata; Mammalia; Carnivora; Felidae
Exons: 3
Source: RefSeq, a predicted model, not a curated record
UCCCAUUGGCUAGGCCGCCUGUGACCCCGCCCCUGAGUAACCAGAGCUGGGGCCCAGGGGGCUGGGCCAGCCUCGGGGGAGGGGCCUUAAAGAGCCCCGGCGGUGUCCAGUGCGCCCAGAGCGGACAGCGGAGACAAGCAAGAUAGGAAAGGUGGAGGAGCUAAUGUCACAGAGAACUGAAGUAAUUUGUCCAAGACCCUACAGCUUCUGGUGAACCAGGAUUUGAACCCAGGCAAUUGGCACCUGAAUGAGGGCUCCACCAUGCCACUGUACCCCCUCAGAGGGAAUCUUGCCCUUCCUCCCACCUCUUCCCCUCCUGCAAGGCUCCCUAGUCCACUCACCUUGCCGAAGGUCAAUUUCUGCCAGCUGCCCAUGAGUGUUGCCCACGAUCACUGAACUAAGGAGGAGACCAGAGGUGGCCUCUAGGACUGGCCGACGCUGGGGAGAGGCUGGAUCGUAGACACGGACCUGGAGAACACCGAAGCAUCACGAGAGCACCCUCACGCCACAUACCCGUCCCUGGAUUGUCCGUAUCUUCACUCCCUCCUUCAUACACUGCUUUCUUAUGAGCCACUCUUAGAGAAACUUUCUCAUCUGAAACAUACCCCCCUCUUGCUCUGAGUGUCAGGGAAGAGUGGGCAGAGGAGAUCUGCUUAGGGAGAGAAGUCCCCCAGGUUAGGGGGGGGGGUGACAGCAUUUCCAGGGUCCACAUGUGUGGGCAUUCCACCCCUCCAUACUCCCAUCUUGGCAUGAAAAGGCAAGCCAGUCCAAUUUUCAGAGAGUACUGAAUUUCAGGCAGAGAAAUUUAGCCUGAGCAACAGAGGGGAGAGUAAGCCCUCGCAGUGUGUUUUGAACAGCGACAUAUCCCCAAGAUCAGAUUUCAGUAUGCAGGAGCAAAGGAAAUGGGACAAACACAGGGACCCAGUCCUGCCAGGAUCUUAGGACUUCAAAUGAGGCCAGCUGUAAAGAUCUCCAGUCGGGCCCGCCCGCCCUCCCUCCUAUAAAGCUGAGCUGAGGGGGCGCCUGGAAGGCUCAGUCGGUUGAGCGUCAGACUUUGGCUCAGGUCAUGACCUCGCGGUCCUUGAGUUCGAGCCCUGCGUCGGGCUCUGUGCUGACAGCUUGGAGCCUGGAGCCUGCUUCAGAUUCUGUGUCUCCCUCUCUCUCUGCCCCUCCCCUGCUCAUGCUCUGUCUCUCUCU